CCUACGGGAGGCAGCAGUGAGGAAUAUUGGACAAUGGAGGCAACUCUGAUCCAGCCAUGCCGCGUGCAGGAAGACUGCCCUAUGGGUUGUAAACUGCUUUUAUAGAGGAAGAAACCUCCCUUCGUGAAGGGAAUUGACGGUACUCUACGAAUAAGGAUCGGCUAACUCCGUGCCAGCAGCCGCGGUAAUACGGAGGAUCCAAGCGUUAUCCGGAAUCAUUGGGUUUAAAGGGUCCGUAGGCGGACUAAUAAGUCAGUGGUGAAAGUCUGCAGCUCAACUGUAGAAUUGCCAUUGAUACUGUUAGUCUUGAGUCAUUAUGAAGUGGUUAGAAUGAGUGGUGUAGCGGUGAAAUGCAUAGAUAUCACUCAGAAUACCGAUUGCGAAGGCAGAUCACUAAUAAUGUACUGACGCUGAUGGACGAAAGCGUAGGUAGCGAACAGGAUUAGAUACCCUGGUAGUCUACGCCGUAAACGAUGGUUACUAGCUGUUUGGUCGAUUGAGACUGAGUGGCUAAGCGAAAGUGAUAAGUAACCCACCUGGGGAGUACGUUCGCAAGAAUGAAACUCAAAGGAAUUGACG
RNAcentral lists this ribosomal RNA (579 nucleotides) under uncultured Mesonia sp. Its description in RNAcentral is "bacterial SSU rRNA". It matches the Rfam family "Bacterial small subunit ribosomal RNA", at positions 338 to 915 of the family's 1533-position model. Lineage: Bacteria; Pseudomonadati; Bacteroidota; Flavobacteriia; Flavobacteriales; Flavobacteriaceae. The record is from RNAcentral.